Molecule: ribosomal RNA, 497 nt
Filed under: uncultured bacterium
Lineage: Bacteria
Description: partial 16S ribosomal RNA
Rfam family: Bacterial small subunit ribosomal RNA
Source: RNAcentral
GAUGAACGCUGGCGGCGUGCCUAAUACAUGCAAGUCGAGCGAACGGACGAGAAGCUUGCUUCUCUGAUGUUAGCGGCGGACGGGUGAGUAACACGUGGAUAACCUACCUACAAGACUGGGAUAACUUUGGGAAACCGGAGCUAAUACCGGAUGAUAUUUUGAACCGCAUUGUUCAAAAGUGAAAGACGGUCUUGCUGUCACUUAUAGAUGGAUCCGCGCUGCAUUAGCUAGUUGGUAAGGUAACGGCUUACCAAGGCAACGAUGCAUAACCGACCUGAGAGGGUGAUCGGCCACACUGGAACUGAGACACGGUCCAGACUCCUACGGGAGGCAGCAGUAGGGAAUCUUCCGCAAUGGGCGAAAGGCGGACGGAGCAACGCCGCGUGAGUGAUGAGGGUCUUCGGAUCGUAGAACUCUGUUAUUAGGGGAGAACAUAUGUGUAAGUAACUGUGCACAUCUUGACGGUACCUAAUGAGAAAGCCACGGCUAACUACGUG